GACGAACGCUGGCGGCGUGCUUAACACAUGCAAGUCGAGCGGUAAGGCCCUUUCGGGGGUACACGAGCGGCGAACGGGUGAGUAACACGUGGGUGACCUGCCCUCAGCUCUGGGAUAAGCCUGGGAAACCGGGUCUAAUACUGGAUAUGACUCCAUGACGCAUGUUGUGGGGUGGAAAGCCUUGUGCGGCUGAGGAUGGGCCCGCGGCCUAUCAGCUUGUUGGUGGGGUGANGGCCUACCAAGGCGACGACGGGUAGCCGGCCUGAGAGGGCGACCGGCCACACUGGGACUGAGACACGGCCCAGACUCCUACGGGAGGCAGCAGUGGGGAAUCUUGCGCAAUGGGCGAAAGCCUGACGCAGCGACGCCGCGUGAGGGAUGACGGCCUGGUUCGUAAC
This 398-nucleotide ribosomal RNA is filed under the name uncultured bacterium. Its description in RNAcentral is "bacterial SSU rRNA". It matches the Rfam family "Bacterial small subunit ribosomal RNA", at positions 28 to 429 of the family's 1533-position model. The record is from RNAcentral.